This is a non-coding RNA of Zootermopsis nevadensis, 1257 nucleotides long. The record is from RefSeq and is a predicted model, not a curated record. Lineage: Eukaryota; Metazoa; Arthropoda; Insecta; Blattodea; Termopsidae.
UGGAGAUCGAUCUCGUCUUAUUCGCAGGAAACGCCAGAUGGCGCAUCUCCUCAUUUGGUAGGCAGAAGACUGCGUUUUUGAAUCAACAGAAUCCUCACUGUCGAAUUUUCCGAGGUGGUCCAGUUGCUUAGCCAGCAAGAUCACAAAAUCUUUCGCCUUUGGACUACUUUCUCUGUAGUGAAAUGGAACACACGCCUCUAUUGUGCACACGCAUAAUGUCGAAAGUUAAUUCACGGCAUACGUCCUCUCGUCUUCACUGUACGAAGCACACAAUGGUUUAAAUGUCAUCUUAUGAGACGCAUGAGAUAUCAUUUAGAUAAGCAGCCGUAUGUUUGUAAUGUAUAUGGAUUAAGAUACUCAAGAACGGAUUCCCUGAGGAGACAUAAGGUGAAACAUAUUCUUGUGGAUAAGAUACACAGAUCAUAUUUAUGUGAUGUAUGUGGUAAGGGAUUCUCAAAUAGAACCUAUCUCAAAAGGCAUUCUAUUGUGCAUGGAAAUGGAAAGUCAUAUUUGUGUGAUCGGUGUGGAAAAACAUUUACUCAGUUGGGUGAUAUGGAACGACAUGCAACAGUGCAUACAGGUCGAGAAUCGCAGAAACGUGACACACGUGGAAAGUCUUUUCAGGAGCGAAUGAGCCUUCUAAGGCAUUAGGUACACCAGAGAAAUAAAAUUUGCUUUACUGUAAUACAUGUGGUAGAAGCUUUACACGUAAGGACUGUCUUCAAUCUCAAAUAUUUCGACAUGUGGCACAAAAAUUAUUUGUUUGUACGUCUUGCGGAAGGAAUUACACAGAUUAAGGGUAAGAUUUCACGUUCACACAGCGGCAGAUACGAAGAUUACUAUUCUGGGAUGUCGCUCCCUUCCACUUCUUCACUGUAUUCAAUGGAGUGAUCCAACGGGAAGAUGUUUCCAGAAGUUUCGUAUCUAGAAGUCCAGACCGUAAUUGCAUUGUUUGCCGAAAUGCUGGUUAACAUGAAACAUUCAACUCCCACCGAGGAAACCUACGGCCAAGUUUAGUUCAGUUAUCUGUGCACUAGAAGGCAGACAUAUUAUCGCUGACUGCAAAAGGACGCUUAUAUCAUUGUCCACGUUUGUUCAGAAGUGUGAAGUAAUAUCAGUACGAUUCUCUCAAGCUAAUUUCCUAUUCAAUACACCAAUCAAGAUGUGUGAUGAACGAGAUUCAUACGUUCAAAUAAUGUUGCAGUCUCCCGCAAAAAGAGUGCCAAAAAUUGUAUUACACAGAGCUGAAGAAAUAUU